CUUGACUAUUAUUUUUUCGUUUGGGUUAUUGGUAAGCCAAAACCGGGUAGAGCGACAUCAACUAUCCAAGCAUCGAGUGUUCGGAAAUCAGAUCAGACCAUCAAUUCGCAUCAUCAAUUAUUCGACAGUGUCAAGAGUGCGGAUUUGGGCAAAUCUGGGUGUCUUUAUCAGUUUAUGUUUGCGGAUCUUGGAGCCCAACACUGCAAUAGCGGCUGCAAUAUUUGAAUUAAAAGGAAAUGUUUGAGUAUCGUAGCGGAAAGCAUUGUUAACUUUUAGGGAUUCAGAUUUGUGUUGUUGCUUGUUAUAGCAUUGCUGAAUUGGAUGGAAGAAAGAAUGCAUCCCUUUAAUCAGAUGUUGGAUGUAUGUCUGUCUUCAUUAUAUUCUAAGGUGCUUCUGAUGCUUGCCUUCAAGAAAUUCUUUUGAGCUCCAGAAAGUUGGACGGUUUGCCUCGUGGCAUAAUACAAGGUCGGAUUUAGAGCUGA
Molecule: long non-coding RNA, 482 nt
Organism: Rosa rugosa (rugosa rose)
Lineage: Eukaryota; Viridiplantae; Streptophyta; Magnoliopsida; Rosales; Rosaceae
Exons: 5
Source: RefSeq, a predicted model, not a curated record